GAUGAACGCUGGCGGCGUGCCUAAUACAUGCAAGUCGAGCGAACGGACGAGAAGCUUGCUUCUCUGAUGUUAGCGGCGGACGGGUGAGUAACAUGUGGAUAACCUACCUAUAAGACUGGGAUAACUUCGGGAAACCGGAGCUAAUACCGGAUAAUAUUUUGAACCGCAUGGUUCAAAAGUGAAAGACGGUCUUGCUGUCACUUAUAGAUGGAUCCGCGCUGCAUAAGCUAGUUGGUAAGGUAACGGCUUACCAAGGCAACGAUGCAUAGCCGACCUGAGAGGGUGAUCGGCCACACUGGAACUGAGACACGGUCCAGACUCCUACGGGAGGCAGCAGUAGGGAAUCUUCCGCAAUGGGCGAAAGCCUGACGGAGCAACGCCGCGUGAGUGAUGAAGGUCUUCGGAUCGUAAAACUCUGUUAUUAGGGAAGAACAUAUGUGUAAGUAACUGUGCACAUCUUGACGGUACCUAAUCAGAAAGCCACGGCUAACUACGUG
This 497-nucleotide ribosomal RNA is filed under the name uncultured bacterium. RNAcentral describes it as "partial 16S ribosomal RNA". It matches the Rfam family "Bacterial small subunit ribosomal RNA", at positions 28 to 507 of the family's 1533-position model. The record is from RNAcentral.